GACGAACGCUGGCGGCGUGCUUAACACAUGCAAGUCGAACGGAAAGGCCCUGCUUUUGUGGGGUGCUCGAGUGGCGAACGGGUGAGUAACACGUGAGUAACCUGCCCUUGACUUUGGGAUAACUUCAGGAAACUGGGGCUAAUACCGGAUAGGAGCUCCUGCUGCAUGGUGGGGGUUGGAAAGUUUCGGCGGUUGGGGAUGGACUCGCGGCUUAUCAGCUUGUUGGUGGGGUAGUGGCUUACCAAGGCUUUGACGGGUAGCCGGCCUGAGAGGGUGACCGGCGACGUGCGGGAUGUAUGAUCUGCCAGACGUGGAGGUGUGGGAGGUGGUGCGAAGAUUGCGCCACGGACGGACGACAGAGGCAGCAACGGGGGGUGGGGCAUGAGUGGGAGGGUGUUGUAAACCGCUUGCGCGGACGACGGAGGGAGGUUGAUGGUAGUUGGAAAAGAAGCACCGGAUAACGAAGUAACAGCGGCCGGGUUAAUAGGCGGAAGAGCAGAGGGGUGAAA
This 509-nucleotide ribosomal RNA is filed under the name uncultured bacterium. RNAcentral describes it as "partial 16S ribosomal RNA". It matches the Rfam family "Bacterial small subunit ribosomal RNA", at positions 36 to 538 of the family's 1533-position model. The record is from RNAcentral.